Molecule: ribosomal RNA, 489 nt
Filed under: uncultured bacterium
Lineage: Bacteria
Description: partial 16S ribosomal RNA
Rfam family: Bacterial small subunit ribosomal RNA
Source: RNAcentral
UUGAACGCUGGCGGCAGGCCUAACACAUGCAAGUCGAACGGUAACAGGAAGAAGCUUGCUUCUUUGCUGACGAGUGGCGGACGGGUGAGUAAUGUCUGGGAAACUGCCUGAUGGAGGGGGAUAACUACUGGAAACGGUAGCUAAUACCGCAUAACGUCGCAAGACCAAAGAGGGGGACCUUCGGGCCUCUUGCCAUCGGAUGUGCCCAGAUGGGAUUAGCUAGUAGGUGGGGUAACGGCUCACCUAGGCGACGAUCCCUAGCUGGUCUGAGAGGAUGACCAGCCACACUGGAACUGAGACACGGUCCAGACUCCUACGGGAGGCAGCAGUGGGGAAUAUUGCACAAUGGGCGCAAGCCUGAUGCAGCCAUGCCGCGUGUAUGAAGAAGGCCUUCGGGUUGUAAAGUACUUUCAGCGGGGAGGAAGGGAGUAAAGUUAAUACCUUGGCUCAUUGACGUUACCCGCAGAAGAAGCACCGGCUAACUCCGUG